GACGAACGCUGGCGGCGUGCCUAAUGCAUGCAAGUCGCACGCGCCACCUUCGGGUGGUGAGUGGCGCACGGCUGAGGAUCACGUGGGAACAUGCCUCCUUGUGGGGGACAACAGCGCGAA
RNAcentral lists this ribosomal RNA (120 nucleotides) under uncultured bacterium. RNAcentral describes it as "partial 16S ribosomal RNA". It matches the Rfam family "Bacterial small subunit ribosomal RNA", at positions 28 to 155 of the family's 1533-position model. The record is from RNAcentral.